AUCUACAGUCUUUUCGGCUGGGAAUACAGAAAGCCUGCAAGGGUGCCAGCUGCUUGUCCAUACAAGCCUGCUUCAAAAAAUGUUGAUGGUUUAAAUGCAGGUACAGAGUCUCUUGUGGAACCUCAUAAAUAUUCUGCUACACAAUCUGAUAAAAAAGAAGAAUAGAAUCAGAGUCAGCAGCUGUUUCCAUGCCAAAUGAACAGUUUGAAGUUUGUAUCAGCAUGUUAAAAAAUCGUACUUAAUGAUCUUAUGGCAGUGUGUUACAUGUGGUCUAAUUAUAUAAACAUCUUGAACCACAACGAGUGCAGUUUCUGGCUUC
This is a long non-coding RNA of Zingiber officinale, 319 nucleotides long. RefSeq lists it as uncharacterized. The transcript is spliced from 2 exons. Lineage: Eukaryota; Viridiplantae; Streptophyta; Magnoliopsida; Zingiberales; Zingiberaceae. The record is from RefSeq and is a predicted model, not a curated record.